This 407-nucleotide ribosomal RNA is filed under the name uncultured bacterium. Its description in RNAcentral is "partial 16S ribosomal RNA". It matches the Rfam family "Bacterial small subunit ribosomal RNA", at positions 30 to 526 of the family's 1533-position model. The record is from RNAcentral.
AUUGAACGCUGGCGGCAGGCCUAACACAUGCAAGUCGAGCGGAGCGGCGGACGGGCGAGUAAUGCCUAGGUAUCUGCCUGGUAGUGGGAGAUAACGUCCGGAAAGGGGCGCUAAUACAGCAUACUAUCAGAUAAGCCUAGGUCGGAUUAGCUAGUUGGUGGGGUAAAGGCCUACCAAGCCGACGAUCCGUAACUGGUCUGAGAGGAUGAUCAGUCACACUGGAACUGAGACACGGUCCAGACUCCUACGGGAGGCAGCAGUGGGGAAUAUUGGACAAUGGGCGAAAGCCUGAUCCAGCCAUGCCGCGUGUGUGAAGAAGGUCUUCGGAUUGUAAAGCACUUUAAGUUGGGAGGCGUUACCAGCAGAAUAAGCACCGGCUAACUUCGUGCCAGCAGCCGCGGUAAUAC